This 1563-nucleotide ribosomal RNA is filed under the name Lactiplantibacillus pentosus. Its description in RNAcentral is "16S ribosomal RNA". It matches the Rfam family "Bacterial small subunit ribosomal RNA". Lineage: Bacteria; Bacillati; Bacillota; Bacilli; Lactobacillales; Lactobacillaceae. The record is from RNAcentral. RNAcentral also lists the same sequence under 2 other names.
UUUGAGAGUUUGAUCCUGGCUCAGGACGAACGCUGGCGGCGUGCCUAAUACAUGCAAGUCGAACGAACUCUGGUAUUGAUUGGUGCUUGCAUCAUGAUUUACAUUUGAGUGAGUGGCGAACUGGUGAGUAACACGUGGGAAACCUGCCCAGAAGCGGGGGAUAACACCUGGAAACAGAUGCUAAUACCGCAUAACAACUUGGACCGCAUGGUCCGAGUUUGAAAGAUGGCUUCGGCUAUCACUUUUGGAUGGUCCCGCGGCGUAUUAGCUAGAUGGUGGGGUAACGGCUCACCAUGGCAAUGAUACGUAGCCGACCUGAGAGGGUAAUCGGCCACAUUGGGACUGAGACACGGCCCAAACUCCUACGGGAGGCAGCAGUAGGGAAUCUUCCACAAUGGACGAAAGUCUGAUGGAGCAACGCCGCGUGAGUGAAGAAGGGUUUCGGCUCGUAAAACUCUGUUGUUAAAGAAGAACAUAUCUGAGAGUAACUGUUCAGGUAUUGACGGUAUUUAACCAGAAAGCCACGGCUAACUACGUGCCAGCAGCCGCGGUAAUACGUAGGUGGCAAGCGUUGUCCGGAUUUAUUGGGCGUAAAGCGAGCGCAGGCGGUUUUUUAAGUCUGAUGUGAAAGCCUUCGGCUCAACCGAAGAAGUGCAUCGGAAACUGGGAAACUUGAGUGCAGAAGAGGACAGUGGAACUCCAUGUGUAGCGGUGAAAUGCGUAGAUAUAUGGAAGAACACCAGUGGCGAAGGCGGCUGUCUGGUCUGUAACUGACGCUGAGGCUCGAAAGUAUGGGUAGCAAACAGGAUUAGAUACCCUGGUAGUCCAUACCGUAAACGAUGAAUGCUAAGUGUUGGAGGGUUUCCGCCCUUCAGUGCUGCAGCUAACGCAUUAAGCAUUCCGCCUGGGGAGUACGGCCGCAAGGCUGAAACUCAAAGGAAUUGACGGGGGCCCGCACAAGCGGUGGAGCAUGUGGUUUAAUUCGAAGCUACGCGAAGAACCUUACCAGGUCUUGACAUACUAUGCAAAUCUAAGAGAUUAGACGUUCCCUUCGGGGACAUGGAUACAGGUGGUGCAUGGUUGUCGUCAGCUCGUGUCGUGAGAUGUUGGGUUAAGUCCCGCAACGAGCGCAACCCUUAUUAUCAGUUGCCAGCAUUAAGUUGGGCACUCUGGUGAGACUGCCGGUGACAAACCGGAGGAAGGUGGGGAUGACGUCAAAUCAUCAUGCCCCUUAUGACCUGGGCUACACACGUGCUACAAUGGAUGGUACAACGAGUUGCGAACUCGCGAGAGUAAGCUAAUCUCUUAAAGCCAUUCUCAGUUCGGAUUGUAGGCUGCAACUCGCCUACAUGAAGUCGGAAUCGCUAGUAAUCGCGGAUCAGCAUGCCGCGGUGAAUACGUUCCCGGGCCUUGUACACACCGCCCGUCACACCAUGAGAGUUUGUAACACCCAAAGUCGGUGGGGUAACCUUUUAGGAACCAGCCGCCUAAGGUGGGACAGAUGAUUAGGGUGAAGUCGUAACAAGGUAGCCGUAGGAGAACCUGCGGCUGGAUCACCUCCUU